Coturnix japonica (Japanese quail) is the source of this 154-nucleotide non-coding RNA. The record is from RefSeq and is a predicted model, not a curated record. Lineage: Eukaryota; Metazoa; Chordata; Aves; Galliformes; Phasianidae.
UUCCAACAGUGAGCGCGGCCUAAGCUGCAGGUUUGGAACGUCACUCGUUGGUCAUUCCUUCAACAGGAGAAAGCCCAUAGCAGAUAAAGGACAGAUGUCAGCUGAGAGGUGUAAGACUUCAAAGUUGCCCCAUAGGAAAACACCACUGGGCAAG